This 118-nucleotide ribosomal RNA is filed under the name Aegilops tauschii subsp. strangulata. The record is from RNAcentral. Lineage: Eukaryota; Viridiplantae; Streptophyta; Magnoliopsida; Poales; Poaceae.
GGAUGCGAUCAUACCAGCACUAAAGCACCGGAUCCCAUCAGAACUGCGAAGUUAAGCGUGCUUGGGCGAUGUAGUACUAGGAUGGGUGACCUCCUGGGAAGUCCUCGUGUUGCAUUCC